AGAGAGGUUAUCCUUUGUGUGUU
This 23-nucleotide non-coding RNA is filed under the name Mus musculus (house mouse). Lineage: Eukaryota; Metazoa; Chordata; Mammalia; Rodentia; Muridae. RNAcentral also lists the same sequence under 1 other name. The record is from RNAcentral.